AGAAGGUUUUCGGAUCGUAAAACUCUGUUGAUGGAGAAGAAUGUAUCUGAUAGUAACUGAUCAGGUAGUGACGGUAUCCAACCAGAAAGCCACGGCUAACUACGUGCCAGCAGCCGCGGUAAUACGUAGGUGGCAAGCGUUGUCCGGAUUUAUUGAGCGUAAAGCGAGCGCAGGCGGUCUCUUAAGUCUGAUGUGAAAGCCUUCGGCUCAACCGAAGAAGUGCAUCGGAAACUGGGAAACUUGAGUGCAGAAGAGGACAGUGGAACUCCAUGUGUAGCGGUGAAAUGCGUAGAUAUAUGGAAGAACACCAGUGGCGAAGGCGGCUGUCUGGUCUGUAACUGACGCUGAGGCUCGAAAGCAUGGGUAGCAAACAGGAUUAGAUACCCUGGUAGUCCAUGCCGUAAACGAUGAGUGCUAGGUGUUGGAGGGUUUCCGCCCUUCAGUGCCGCAGCUAACGCAUUAAGCACUCCGCCUGGGGAGUACGACCGCAAGGUUGAAACUCAAAGGAAUUGACGGGGGCCCGCACAAGCGGUGGAGCAUGUGGUUUAAUUCGAAGCAACGCGAAGAACCUUACCAGGUCUUGACAUCCUUUGACCACUCUAGAGAUAGAGCUUUCCCUUCGGGGACAAAGUGACAGGUGGUGCAUGGUUGUCGUCAGCUCGUGUCGUGAGAUGUUGGGUUAAGUCCCGCAACGAGCGCAACCCUUAUUACUAGUUGCCAGCAUUAAGUUGGGCACUCUAGUGAGACUGCCGGUGACAAACCGGAGGAAGGUGGGGACGACGUCAAAUCAUCAUGCCCCUUAUGACCUGGGCUACACACGUGCUACAAUGGAUGGUACAACGAGUUGCGAGACCGCGAGGUUUAGCUAAUCUCUUAAAACCAUUCUCAGUUCGGAUUGUAGGCUGCAACUCGCCUACAUGAAGCCGGAAUCGCUAGUAAUCGCGGAUCAGCAUGCCGCGGUGAAUACGUUCCCGGGCCUUGUACACACCGCCCGUCACACCAUGAGAGUUUGUAACACCCAAAGCCGGUGAGGUAACCCUUCGGGGAGCCAGCCGUCUAAG
This 1061-nucleotide ribosomal RNA is filed under the name Latilactobacillus sakei. RNAcentral's name for it is "bacterial SSU rRNA". It matches the Rfam family "Bacterial small subunit ribosomal RNA", at positions 409 to 1461 of the family's 1533-position model. Lineage: Bacteria; Bacillati; Bacillota; Bacilli; Lactobacillales; Lactobacillaceae. The record is from RNAcentral.